CGCGUAGGUAACCUGCCUUGUAGCGGGGGAUAACUAUUGGAAACGAUAGCUAAUACCGCAUAACAAUGGAUGACACAUGUCAUUUAUUUUGAAAGGGGCAAUUGCUCCACUACAAGAUGGACCUGCGUUGUAUUAGCUAGUAGGUGAGGUAAUGGCUCACCUAGGCGACGAUACAUAGCCGACCUGAGAGGGUGAUCGGCCACACUGGGACUGAGACACGGUCCAGACUCCUACGGGAGGCAGCAUG
Molecule: ribosomal RNA, 247 nt
Filed under: uncultured bacterium
Lineage: Bacteria
Description: partial 16S ribosomal RNA
Rfam family: Bacterial small subunit ribosomal RNA
Source: RNAcentral